CUGCUGGAUAGGCUACACCUCAUUAGCAUAUAAUUGUGCCGGAAGAAGUGGUAUAUCGAGGGAGGACGUUAAACACUGCCCCUUUCUCGAGGGCGCUACAGAUGGAUACCCUACCUCUGCCUGUGGUGUUGGAAGAGGCUGCAUUGGGAAGAGGAUGCAUCAACACCCUGGAAAGAUGUUUGUGGUGCACUCACUCAUAACACUUUUUUGAGUGAUAAAUGAAUGUAUUGUCUUCAAGCUUGAUAGGAAGCAAUCAGUUACAAGGCAUAAAGACAGAUUGAGGCCUUCAAUCAAACUGAGGACAGAGAAAUGUGCACCAGGUCAAGGCUUCAUGCAUGAAUGGCUUUGAGAUUGUGUGCAUUUAAGAAGCUUUGGAUGAAGGACUUCCACACGGCUGCCAUCUCCAAAGUUCACUCAAAAAGGCAAUAGUUCUGAACUGGGUUUGUUUUUGCUUUUGUCAUUUUAAUGAUUUCAAUUUAGUUAAUUCUCUUUUAAACAUCCAUUGCUUCAAAGCUCAUUGACCAGUUAUCACUUGGCUCUAAAUUCUGUAGUUGUAGUUAAACAUAAGGUAAACAUCCCCAUAGCGUUCACAUUUAUCUCUUGUAAAUGUUGAAUCUACAAUAGAUAUUAAAUAAACAAUUUAUUUGGGAAA
This is a long non-coding RNA of Oncorhynchus kisutch (coho salmon), 652 nucleotides long. RefSeq lists it as uncharacterized. The transcript has 4 exons. The record is from RefSeq and is a predicted model, not a curated record. Lineage: Eukaryota; Metazoa; Chordata; Actinopteri; Salmoniformes; Salmonidae.